RNAcentral lists this ribosomal RNA (400 nucleotides) under uncultured bacterium. RNAcentral's name for it is "bacterial SSU rRNA". It matches the Rfam family "Bacterial small subunit ribosomal RNA", at positions 355 to 770 of the family's 1533-position model. The record is from RNAcentral.
UGGGGAAUCUUGCGCAAUGGGCGAAAGCCUGACGCAGCAACGCCGCGUGCGGGAUGACGGCCUUCGUGGUUGUAAACCGCUUUCAGCAGGGACGAAACUGACGGUACCUGCAGAAGAAGCCCCGGCUAACUACGUGCCAGCAGCCGCGGUAAUACGUAGGGGGCGAGCGUUGUCCGGAUUCAUUGGGCGUAAAGAGCUCGUAGGCGGUUCAGUAAGUCGGGUGUGAAAGCUCCGAGCUCAACUCGGAGAGGCCACCCGAUACUGCUGUGACUUGAGUCCAGUAGAGGAGCGUGGAACUCCUGGUGUAGCGGUGAAAUGCGCAGAUAUCAGGAAGAACACCGGUAGCGAAGGCGGCGCUCUGGGCUGGUACUGACGCUGAGGAGCGAAAGCGUGGGUAGCA